This 270-nucleotide ribosomal RNA is filed under the name uncultured bacterium. RNAcentral's name for it is "partial 16S ribosomal RNA". It matches the Rfam family "Bacterial small subunit ribosomal RNA", at positions 793 to 1055 of the family's 1533-position model. The record is from RNAcentral.
GUCCACGCCCUAAACGAUGUCAACUAGGUGUUGGGGAGGAGACUUCCUUAGUACCGCAGCUAACGACGUGAAGUUGACCGCCUGGGGAGGUACGGCCGCAAGGUUGAAACUACAAAGGAAUUGACGGGGACCCGGCACAAGCGGUGGAUUAUGUGGAUUAAUUCGAUGCAACGCGAAAAACCUUAACCUACCCUUGACAUGUCAGGAAGAUUUCAGAGAUGAGAUUGUGCCCGAAAGGGAACCUGAACACAGGUGCUGCAUGGCUGUCGU